UUUUGUUUUGUACUGCUAGCCCUAUCAAGCAUCGGUGUUUUACGUGGUUUUUCUGCUCCCAUCUUGCACAUAUCACAUUUUUUUCUUCGAGCUACAUGGGUGAUACACAGAGUACACGCAGCAAAACAGAAGUUUUUUUUUAAUUAAGGAUAACUUGAUCCGGCCUCGACCAUUAGUGAAUGUCUAUAGCCAAAGGAUACAAAGAUGCAGCACUUAGACUGCCAGCAAACAGCCACAACACCACAGUUCAAACUAAAGACAAAACCAAAGAAACAGAACCCCUCAGUAGCUCAGUGGUAGAGCGGAGCGGUGGGCUGUUAACUGAGUGGUUAUAGGUUCGAAUCCACAAGGGUUGAAGACCAUUAGGCUUCAAUACUGUUCCUAAAUCUCCAUCC
Molecule: long non-coding RNA, 395 nt
Filed under: Setaria viridis
Lineage: Eukaryota; Viridiplantae; Streptophyta; Magnoliopsida; Poales; Poaceae
Description: long non-coding RNA (SVIR_LNC005937)
Source: RNAcentral